Molecule: long non-coding RNA, 26713 nt
Filed under: Populus tremula
Lineage: Eukaryota; Viridiplantae; Streptophyta; Magnoliopsida; Malpighiales; Salicaceae
Description: long non-coding RNA (PTRE_LNC001669)
Source: RNAcentral
UUGGGGCCAGAUUAAGUGGGGAGGGGGUUUGGUUUUUUCUCGUCAUUGCUUUACUGUUUGAGUAAUGGCAGGAUUUAAUAUUGUGAUGUAAAUUUGGAAAAAAUUGCUUUAUUCUUUAUGCUCGUUCUUUGCUUCAAUACUGGAGGUUUACAUUCUGUACAGACUGCAAUGACAAGGAAAGAAAUAUAUGAACUUGAAAAGCAGCAGGAUUGCCUUUAGGCAAAAUAACCUGUAUGUUGUUCUGGUUUUUCAGAGAAACAUGAUCCAUCAUCCUUCUAUACCUUUGUAUGGAUGUAUAGGUACGUUAUGGAGCAACAUCAUGCUCCCAAUGUAGGCAAUUGGGUCUUGGUUAGAAACUAUAGAAACAAAUUGAAAAAAAAAUACAGCAGAAAUAAAAAAGAAAAAAAAAAUCCAGAUUUCCUUUUCUGAAGACUCGAAAAGAUUUAGCUGUGCAUGAAUAAGAAGACUCAAUAUUUUUUCAACUUCUUUUAUUAUCUGUGCUGAUGAAUUUGUUGAAGUCUCUUCCUAUGCUUUUGGCUGCCAUCUCAAGUUCAAGCCCGCUGCUUUCUGGCAGAAACUUGAUAGUGAAGGAAAUUACCAAUCAUCUUGAUUGUGAAGGAACUCAUUAUCAUGAUUGUAGAGCAUUGCAGGAUAGACUGGAUCUUGCAAAAACCUCUGUACAGUUGAUCGGGUGAAAAAGCCAGUAUCUGGAGUUCGUAUCCUGCAGGACAAGUUCCCGACAAGCUUCUUGAAUUCUGUAUGGAAUUUAUGCAAUUGGCAGUCAAAAGUAGGAUUUAGGCCACUAGUGAUGAACCACUUCCCAACGAAAUCUACAACAUUAAAGUUCUUGACAAGAAUGGCAGGAUCAGGGACGGAAUUCCAACAUCAGACUUCUAAGGUACACACUUCUUUCAUGAGAUGAACACUCAUUGAAUUCAUCAACUACUCAAAAGCUUGAUCUGCAAAAUAUCUAAAGAGGGUUACCCGUUGAAUAACAUUAUCUAUCUCACCAGGUAUAAGGUAGAACAAGAUUAUUGGACAAUCAAACACUCAAAAGCUUAAGCUGAUAGAGAGGGGUUUGUUUGUUCUAAAAGAGAUGUUACACUGUUUCCUUUAAAAGCUUAUUCUGUUAGUGAUCAUUCUGCUUAUACAUAUUCUUUCUGCAGUAUCUGCGAGCAUCUCAAGAGAAAGAACAGAACUUACCUGGCAUUCAUCUGCAGUAUGGAUGCAAGCAACAUUAGCUGCACAGUAUGGGUUUGCAAUGCACCUUGCCAAUUCUAGCCUGACAAUAACAAGCUGGUAAGUAAAAGGUAAUGAUGAAGGAUCAAAAUGCACUUGCUGGUUAAAUGGAAGGAAAUCCCUUUGCUACCAAAAAUUUCAACAACUAAUUCCCAUCAAUACCACCACCUCCUCAUCAAAUCUCAAUAAUAACAUGUUUUUGGACAUGGCAGUGAUGGUGGAGGCACAAGGGGAGCAGAUGGAUGAUAUUGAGCACCAUGUGUUGAAAGCUAGUCACUAUGUGAAGGAUGGUACCAAAGAGCUCAAGAGUGCUAAAGAUCACCAGAAGAGCAGCAGGAAAUGGAUGUGUAUCGGUAUCAUUCUCCUUUUGAUAAUCAUUCUUGUGAUUGUUAUACCUAUUGUUACUAGCUUUAGCUACUCUUGAAUUGGAGGGCCUUAUGGAGGAUUUAAUGACCUGUUAUUCCUUAUUUUGGGGCCAGAUUAAGUGGGGAGGGGGUUUGGUCUCUUGUCAUUGAGUAAUGGUAGGAUUUAAUGUUGUGAUGUAAAUUUGGAAAAAUUGUUUUAUUCUUUAUGCUCGUUCUUUGCUCCAAUACUGGAAGUUUACAUUCUGUACAGAUAGUUGUUUUAGAACAGGUGUCUGCAAUGACUUUUAGGGAAAGAAAUAUAUGAACUUGAAAAGCAGCAUGAUUGCCUUUAGGCAAGAUAACCUGUAUGCUGUUCUGGUUUUUCAGAGAAACAUGAUCCGUCAUCCUUCUUUACCUUUGUAUGGGUGCGUUUUUGGAGCAACUUCAUGAUCCAAUGUAAGGUACGUUAUGGAGCAACAUCAUGAUUCAAUGUAGGGAAUUCAGGACGCAAUUGGGUCUUGGUUAGAAACUAUAUAAACAAAUUGAAAAAAGAAAUGCAGCAGAAAUAAAAAAAUUUCCUUUUCUCUGCCUGGGAUGGUUGCAAGGAAACUAGACAUUUAUAACUAUGUAAGUUGUCUCUGCAACAGAAAAAAAUUCAGUUGCAUUGAUCUCUCAAGUGAAAAUCAUGGAGUAGUUUUUUUAGCUCAUGGGCUUGGCUAGCUUUUGAGGCAUAAGUAAUAAUAAGGUCACAAGUUGUCAUGAUUAGGAGAGAAUUUCUUUCCUCAACUAAGCUUGCCUUCCUGCACACAACAAUCUUCUUCUUUCAUGUCUUGUCAUCAGAUGGCUUCCCUUCACCAAAUGGCACAUCAGGUUUUCCUUGAUCUCCUCCAUCCUUUUCUGUUUCUUUUCUAGUAUUCAUAUGCUUUGAAUAAUUAAAUAACAAAAAUGGAAGAAGUUUCUAUGUAUGUGCCCUUGGCUCUAACAACGAACUUUAAUUGCAGGUAACUGCGUCUUGGACUUCAAGGAAUUCCCUUACGAACCAACCGGCGAGUGCAUAGGCCACCAGGAGAAAAUCAAGGACUGGACAGCUUCAGCACAACAUUAUGCUGUCGUAAUCUGCUCAACGAUCUGACCAAACUCUUAGCGUCGCGUGCAGUAUCGAACCCAAAUGUUGACAUCUUGAUUCCAAAAGAUCAAUGGAUGGAAUGUAUCCAUGGCUUUCCUGGACAAAACUCUGUAUCACCGGCUUCUUGUGGGUUUUUGAUGACCUCUACAAUGAGAGAAGUGCUUGCUUGAGAUUUUCUUUGUCAUCGAUAACGGAACAGUGGUAUUACAAAAAAGCAUUAGCCUCGUGUACGAAUUUUAGCUCUUCAUACGAUUAUGGGUGUAGCAGCUGCAUAGAGGCAAUAUCCGAUUUCAGGGAUUAUCAGUUACGAAUAUCAAAUGUCAGCGCUAAUGACAAGAAGGCAAAAAUAGCAUGUGGGGUGGCAGUUCUUAUUUCUGUUGUGGCUGAAAAUUUGAAGAAUAGCGCUUGGAUUGAUGAUUUCUACAGGUGUUUGCCAGCUUCAGAUGCAUUCAGUAAGGGCCAUUACUCCUUCUUUUAACUCUUAUUUCUCGAUUUACCUCCCAUUUCACUUCCUGAUGCUUAGAGAAUUGUCUAUGAACAGAUGAAGGAUACACGCAAAUCAAAUGUAAGUACAACUAUUCUGUUUUCUCAUUGAAAGAGUUUAUUCAUUUCUUGGAAUUUUAUAUGGUCGCGUGGAUCAUCUUGUGAAGGAUAAACACUCAUAAAGAUCUUUAGCUUAUCAGAUUCUCUGGUGAAAGUGGUAUUUGGUAUUUUUAUAGCAAUCAUCACAUUGUUGCUGGUCUAUCAGUAUCCUUCUCCUUUUGAUAAUCAUUCUUGUGAUUGUUAUACCUAUUGUUACUAGCUUUAGCUACUCUUGAAUUGAAGGGUCUUAUGGAGGAUUUAAUGACCUGUUAUUUCUUAUGGCUUUCUUGCUUUACUUUUGGAGGAUAUGCUUGAAUCCCUUAUUUUAGGGCCAGAUUAAGUGCGGAGGGGGUUUGGUUUUCUCUCGUCAUUGCUUUUCUCUUUUGAGUAAUGGUGGGAUUUAAUGUUGUGGUGUAAAUUUAGAAAAAUUGCUUUAUUCUUUAUGCUCGUUCUUUGCUCCAAUCCUGGAAUAUACAGACAGUUGUUUUAGAACAGGUGUCUGCAAUGACUUUUAGGGAAAGAAAAAUAUGAACUUGAAAAGCAGCAGGAUUUAGCUGUGCAUUUCUGAAAUAAUAAAAGGCAUGAAUAAGACGACUCAAUAUUUUCUUUUAAGUUGUACUAUAUCUAAACUUCGCUUCCAUUUUCAGAUCACUCAACGUAUCAUAUCCAUUUCUUCUUUACUUGGUUUUCUUAAGAAAACCUCCUCGUCUUUUUGGAGUUUAUAAAUCCUUCUGCCAAUCUCCGGAACAAGCUCAACUCAGUCUACCUAUAUUAUGAAAAGGAGGGGGUUUGGUUUUCUUCCUCUCAGUUUCUUCAACUUCCUUUAUUAUCUGUGCCUUUCCUCUUCUAUUUCUUCAACUUCCUUUAUUAUCUGUGCUGAUGAAUUUGUUGAAGUCUCUACGGGCUGCCAUCUCAAGUACAAGCACGAUGCUUUCUGGCAGAACUGCACUUCUUGUGUACACACCGUCCCAUGCAUCAUUUCUGCCUCGGUAGUACACAAAUAUGUAAUCAUCUAGUUUAUUUUCUAUCUUCGAUUGACAGAAUAUAUCUGGAGACAUAAUUAUAAUAGCCAUUAAUCUAUCUAGUUUCUGAUGCUUAAUGAUGACUCAGCAUUAUAUUUUUGCAGGAAGUACUUGAAAUGGUUUGACUUGAAUCCACAAUGAAAUUGACCAAAAAAAAUAAAGGAGAAUGGGGAGAAGGAGACCAGUCAUCUUAAUAGUGAAGGAACUCAUUGUCAUGAUUGUAGAGCAUUGCAGGACACACUGGAUCUUGCACAAACCUAUGUACAGUUGAUCGGGUGAAAAGGCUGCUAGUGACGAACCACUUCCCAACGAAAUCUGCAACAUUAAAGUUCUUGACAAGAAAGGCAGGAUUAGGGACGGAAUCCCCGAACAUCAGACUUCUGAGGUACACACUUAUUUCAUGAGACUGCACACUCAUUGAAUUCAUCAACAAGAAAAUGACAAGCAAAGAAGAAAAAAGAAAAGGAAUCAAAGAAGAAGCAUUUACUAAAAUCAUCAAGAAAUAUUUACAUACAUUGAAAGAAGAAUACAAGCAUCAUCUAAGUUAGCAGCUGAAAACUGUGAGCUGUAUCAACAAUGACAUUGGGUUCUUAAGGGUACAAAACUUAAACACGGUGAGAAAUGGGGAGGGGGGGGCUAACCUUGAGCAAGAGGUGGAGCUUUUCAUGGCAGCAAGGGAAAAAAUGGAUGCAGAGUGCCAAAAAUAGGUGAAAAAAAAGCGCGCGGAGGUCUGGGAAGGCAGCGAAGGUGGAAAAGACAGACAUCAUCAUGUGGACUCAAACCAUGUAACGUAUUCAUUUUCUUCCUCGUCUCUGUUUUUUAGUUAGUUACUAGUGAUUUUCUUUUAGGAUGUCACAUUCCAGUUUGAAAUAUAUUUUUAUUUAGUUUUUUAUUACUAUUAAAAAAAUAUUUAUGAGAUAUACAAUUGUUAAAAUUCUAGACAGAAAAAAUACAUAUUCUAAAAAUAUAUAUAUUUUGUUAAACUAAUUAUUCUUUUCUUAUUCAUAUAUUUUUUUAUUUGAUUAAACAUAUUAUUUAUUAGGAGUUCAUUUUUGAAUACCUAUUGUCUAGCUUUAGCUACUCUUGAAUUGGAGGGCCUUAUGGAGGAUUUAAUGACCUGUUAUUCCUUAUGGCUUUCUUGCUUUACUUUUGGAGGAUAUGCUUUAAUCCCUUAUUUUGGGGUCAGAUUAAGUGGGGAGGGGGUUUGGUUUUCUCUCGUCAUUGCUUUUCUCUUUGAGUAAUGGUAGGAUUUAAUGUUGUGAUGUAGAUUUAGAAAAAUUGCUUUAUUCUUUAUGCUCGUUCUUUGCUCCAAUCCUGGAAGUUUACAUUCUGUACAGACAAUUUUAGAAGAGGUGUCUUUAGGGAAAGAAAAGUAUGAACUUGAAAAGCAACAGGAUUUCCUUUAGGCAAGAUAACCUGCAUGUUGUUCUGGUUUUUCAGAGAAACAUGAUCUAUCAUCCUUCUUUACCUUUGUAUGGAUGUAUAGGUACGUUAUGGAGCAACAUCAUGCUCCAAUGUAGGAAAUUCAGGAGGCAAUUGGGUCUUGGUUAGAAACUAUAGAAACAAAUUGAAAAAAGAAAUGCAGCUUUCCUUUUCUGGAGACUCGAAAAGAUUUAGCUGUGCAUUUCUGAAAUAAAAAAAGGCAUGAAUAAGAAGACUCCAUAUUUUCUUUUAAGUUGAACUCUAUCUAAACUUCGCUUCCAUUUUCAGAUCACUCAACAUAUCAUAUCCAUUUCUUCUUUACUUGGUUUUCUUAAGAAAACCUCGUCGUCUUUUUGGAGUUAAUAAAUCCUUCUGCCAAACUCUCGGGAACAAGCUCAACUCAGUCUACCUAUAUUAUCAAAAAGAGUGGGUUUGGUUUUCUUCAACUUCCUUUAUUAUCUGUGCUGAUGAAUUUGUUGAAGUCUCUACGGGCUGCCAUCUCAAGUUCAAGCACGAUGCUUUCUGGCAGAACUGCACUUCUUGUGUACACAACGUCCCAUUAAGUGGGGAGGGGGUUUGGUUUUCUCUCGUCAUUGCUUUUCUCUUUUGAGUAAUGGUGGGAUUUAAUGUUGUGAUGUAAAUUUGGAAUAAUUGCUUUAUUCUUUAUGCUCGUUCUUUGCUUCAAUACUGGAGGUUUACAUUCUGUGCAGACAGUUGUUUUAGAACAGGUGUCUGCAAUGACUUUUAGGGAAUAAAUAUUAUGACUUGAAAAGCAGCAGAUUGCCUUUAGGCAAGAUAACCUGUAUGUUCUGGUUUUUCAGAGAAACAUGAUCCAUCAUCCUUCUUUACCUUUGUAUGGGUGCGUUUUUGGAGCAACUUCAUUAUCCAAUGCAAGGUACGUUAUGGAGCAACAUCAUGAUCCGAUGUAGGGAAUUCAGGAGGCAAUUGGGACUUGGUUAGAAACCAUAGAAACAAAUUGAAAAAAGAAAUGCAGCAGAAAUAAAAAAGAAAAAAAAAAUCCAGAUUUCCUUUUCUGGAGACUCAAAAAGAUUUAGCUGUGCAUGAAUAAGAAGACUCAAUAUUUUUUCAACUUCUUUUAUUAUCUGUGCUGAUGAAUUUGUUGAAGUCUUCCUAUGCUUUUGGCUGCCAUCUCAAGUUCAAGCCCACUGCUUUCUAGCAGAAACUUGAUAGUGAAGGAAAUUACCAGUCAUCUUGAUUGUGAGGGGAACUCAUUGUCAUGAUUGUAGAGCAUUGCAGGAUAGACUGGAUCUUGCAAAAACCUCUGUACAGUUGAUCGGGUGAAAAAGCCAGUAUCUAGGGUUCGUAUCCUCCAGGACAAGUUCCCGACAAGCUUGUUGGAUUCUGUAUGAAAGUUAUGCAAUUGGCAGUCAAAAGUAGGAUUUAGGCCACUAGUGAUGAACCAACUUCCCAACGAAAUCUGCAACAUUAAAGUUCUUGACAAGAAUGGCAGGAUCAGGGACGAAAUUCCAACAUCAGACUUCUGAGGUACAAGUAAUAAUAAGGUCACAAGUUGUCAUGAUUAGGAGAGGAUUUCUUUCCUCAACUAAGCUUGCCUUCCUGCACACAACAAUCUUCUUCUUUCAUGUCUUGUCAUCAGAUGGCUUCCCUUCACCAAAUGGCACAUCAGGUUUUCCUUGAUCUCCUCCAUCCUUUUCUUUUUCUUUUCUAGUAUUCAUAUGCUUUGAAUAAUUAAAUAACAAAAAAUGGAAGAAGUUUCUAUGUAUGUGCCCUUGGCUCUAACAACGAACUUUAAUUGCAGGUAACUGCGUCUUGGACUUCAAGGAAUUCCCUUACGAACCAACCGGCGAGUGCAUAGGCCACCAGGAGAAAAUCAAGGACUGGACAGCUUCAGCACAACAUUAUGCUGUCGUAAUCUGCUCAACGAUCUGACCAAACUCUUAGCGUCGCGUGCAGUAUCGAACCCAAAUGUUGACAUCUUGAUUCCAAAAGAUCAAUGGAUGGAAUGUAUCCAUGGCUUUCCUGGAGAAAACUCUGUAUCACCGGCUUCUUGUGGGUUUUUGAUGACCUCUACAAUGAGAGAAGUGCUUGCUAGAGAUUUUCUUUGUCAUCGAUAACGGAACAGUGGUAUUACAAAAAAGCAUUAGCCUCGUGUACGAAUUUUAGCUCUUCAUACGAUUAGAGGCAAUAUCCGAUUUCAGGGAUUAUCAGUUACGAAUAUCAAAUGUCAGCGCUAAUGACAAGAAGACAAAAAUAUUAUGUGGGAUGGCAGUUCUUAUUUCUGUUGUGGCUGAAAAUUUGAAGAAUAGCGAUUGAUGAUUUCUACAGGUGUUUGCCAGCUUCAGAUGCAUUCAGUAAGGGCCAUUGCUGCUUCUUUUAUAUCUUAUUUCUCGAUUUACUUCCCAUUUCACUUCCUUAUGCUUAGAGUAUUGUCUAUGAACAGAUAAAGGAUACAAGCAAAUCAAAUGUAAGUACAACUAUUCUGUUUUCUCAUUGAAUCAUUUCUUGGAAUUUUAUUUGGUCGCGUGGAUCAUCGUGUGAAGGAUAAACACUCAUAAAGAUCUUUAGCUUAUCAGAUUCUCUGGUGAAAGUGAUAUUUUCUUUUUUUAUAGCAAUCAUCACAUUGUUGCUGGUCUUUCUUCUGAUAAAAUACGUGAGCAAGGGCAAGAAGAAGCGCCCUAAACCUGUAACUCCAUCUAAAGAGAGGAGUUCUUGAAACGUGCAAUCCAGGAGCAUGGGAAAGGGAAGGUGUUGGAGACUGUGGUGGAGAUACAGGACAGGCAUGAUGCUGCCAAAGAGAUUGAGUUGGAGCUGCACCAGGUGUUUUUGGACAUGGCAGUGAUGGUGGAGGCACCAGAUGGAUGAUAUUGAGCACCAUGUGUUGAAAGCUAGUCACUAUGUGAAGGAUGGUACCAAAGUGCUCAAGGGUGCUAAAGAUCACCAGAAGAGCAGCAGGAAAUGGAUGUGUUUCGGUAUCAUUCUCCUUUUGAUAAUCAUUCUUGUGAUUGUUAUACCUAUUGUUACUAGCUUUAGCUACUCUUGAAUUGAAGGGUCUUAUGGAGGAUUUAAUGACCUGUUAUUCCUUAUGGCUUUCUUGCUUUACUUUUGGAGGAUAUGCUUGAAUCCCUUAUUUUGGGGCCAGAUUAGGUGUUGGAGACUGUGGUGGAGAUACAGGACAGGCAUGAUGCUGCCAAAGAGAUUGAGAAGAGCUUGUUGGAGCUGCACCAGGUGUUUUUGGACAUGGCAGUGAUGGUGGAGGCACAAGGCGAGCAGAUGGAUGAUAUUGAGCACCAUGUGUUGAAAGCUAGUCACUAUGUGAAGGAUGGUACCAAAGAGCUCAAGAGUGCUUAAAGAUCACCAGAAGAGCAGCAGGAAAUGGAUGUGUAUCGGUAUCAUUCUCCUUUUGAUAAUCAUUCUUGUGAUUGUUAUACCUAUUGUUACUAGCUUUAGCUACUCUUGAAUUGGAGGGCCUUAUGGAGGAUUUAAUGACCUGUUAUUCCUUAUGGCUUUCUUGCUUUACUUUUGGAGGAUAUGCUUGAAUCCCUUAUUUUGGGGCCAGAUUAAGUGGGGGGAGGGGAGGGGGUUUGGUUUUCUCUCGUCAUUGCUUUUCUCUUUGAGUAAUGGUAGGAUUUAAUGUUGUGAUGUAAAUUUAGAAAAGUUGCUUUAUUCUUUAUGCUUUGCUUCAAUACUGGAUGUUUACAUUCUGUACAGACUGCAAUGACUUUUAGGGAAAGAAAAAUAAGAACUUGAAAAGCAGCAGGAUUAUUGCCUUUAGGCAAGAUAACCUGUAUGUUGUUCUGUUUUUUCAGAGAAACAUGAUCCAUCAUCCUUCUUCUCCUUUGUAUGGGUGCGUUUUUGCAGCAACUUCAUGAUCCAAUGUAAGGUACGUUAUGGAGCAACAUCAUGAUCCAAUGUAGGGAAUUCAGGAGGCAAUUGGGUCUUCGUUAGAAACUAUAGAAACAAAUUGAAAUAAGAAAUGUAGCAGAAAAAAAAAAAGAAAAAAAAAUCCAGAUUUCCUUUUCUGGAGACUCGAAAAGAUUUAGCUGUGCUUUUCUGAAAUAAUAAAACGCAUGAAUAAGAAGACUCAAUAUUUUCUUUUAAGUUGAACUCUAUCUAAACUUCGCUUCCAUUUUCAGAUCACUCAACAUAUCAUAUCCAUUUCUUCUUUACUUGGUUUUCUUAAGAAAACCUCCUCGUCUUUUUAAGUUGAACUCAGUCUACCUAUAUUAUCAAAAGGAGGGGGUUUGGUUUUCUUCAACUUCCUUUACUAUUUGUGCCUUUCCUCUUCUAUUUCUUCAACUUCCUUUAUUAUCUGUGCUGAUGAAUUUGUUGAAGUCUCUACGGGCUGCCAUCUCAAGUUCAAGCACGAUGCUUUCUGGCAGAACUGCACUUCUUGUGUACACAUGCAUCAUUUCUGCCUUGGUAGUACACAAAUAUGUAAUCAUCUUGUUUAUUUUCUAUCUUCGAUUGACAGAAUAUAUCUGGAGACAUAAUUAUGAUAGCCAUUAAUCUAUCUAGUUUCUGAUGCUUAAUGAUGACUCAGCAUUAUAUUUUUGCAGGAAGUACUUGAUAUGGUUUGACUUGAAUCCAUAAUGAAAUAGAUAAAAAAAUAAAAAAAAGGAGAAUGGGGAGAAGGAGAUUACCAGGCAUCUUAAUAGGGAAGGAACUCAUUGUCAUGAUUGUAGAGCAUUGCAGGAUACACUGGAUCUUGCACAAACCUCUGUACAGUUGAUCGGGUGAAAAAGCCAGUAUCUGGAGUUCGUAUCCUCCAGGACAAGUUCCCGACAAGCUUGUUGGAUUCUGUAUGGAACUUAUGCAAUUGGCAAUCAAAGGUAUCAAAAGUAGGAUUUAGGCCACUAGUGAUGAACCACUUCCCAAAGAAAUCUGCAACAUUAAAGUUCUGGACAAGAAUGGCAGGAUCAGGGACGGAAUCCCCGAACAUCAGACUUCUGAGGUACACACUUCUUUCAUGAGACUGCAUACUCAUUGAAUUUGUCAACAAGACUGUUUUCAAAUAGAUCCCCACAUUUGAUCUGCACACUUCAUUUAUGAGACUGCACACUCAUUGAAUUCAUCAACAAGACUGUUUUCAAAUAGGUGGGACAUUUGAUCUGCAAAAUAUCUAAAGACUUCUGAGGUACACACUUCUUUCAUGAGACUACACACUCGUUUGAAUUCAUCAACAAGACUGUUUUCAAAUAAAUCCCUACAUUUGAUCUGCAAAAUAUCUAAAGAGGGUUACUCGUUGAAUAUCUAUCUCACCUGGUAUAAGGCAGAACAAGAUUGUUGGACAGCCAACUACUCAAAAGCUUAAGCUGACAGAGAGAGGGGUUUGUUUGAUAUUUUAGAGAUGCCACCCUUUGCCCUGCAGGCCAAGUGCAAAUAUAUGGUACACUGUUUCCUGUAAAAGCUUCUUAUGCUGUUAGUGAGCAUUCUCUUAUACAUAUUCUUUCUGCAGUAUCUGCAAGCAGCUCAAGAGAAAGAACAUAACUCACAACGUAUGCAUGUAUGGAGGCAAGCAACGUUAGCAGCACAAGAUGGGUUUGCAAUGCACUUUGCCAAUUCUUGCCUGGCAAUAACAAGCUGGUAAGUAAAAGACAAUGAUGAAGGAUCAAAAUGCACUUGCCGGUUAAAUGGAAGGCAAUCCCUUUGCUACCAAUAAAUGGAAGGCAAUCCCUUUGCUACCAAAAAUUGCAACAAAUUCCCAUCAAUACCACCACCUCCUCAUCAAAUCUCAACAGAAAAUGCUAACCUAAACCCAUUCAUAUCAUUAAAUCUCAACAGAAAAUGCUAAUCUAAACCCAUUUAUAUGCUAGUGUGUCUUUUGAAUUGCAUUCAUAUCAUCAAAUCUCAACAGAAAAUGCAAACCUAAACCCAUUCAUAUCAUCAAAUCUCAAAAAAAAAUACUAACCUAAACUCAUUCAUAUGCUAGUGUAUCUUUUGAAUUGCAUUCAUAUCAUCAAAUCUCAACAGAAAAUGCUAACCUAAACCCAUUCAUAUGCUAUUGUAUCCCCAUUCAUAUCAUCAAAUCUCAACAGAAAAUGCUAACCUAAAUCCAUUCAUAUGCUAGUAUAUCUUUUGAAUUGCAUAACAGUACGCCACUGUAAACCACAUUCAGAUAGAUUACCGAAAUAUAUCCUCCAUAAAAUGUUAAACCAUGAUUUUAAGGAAAUUUUCAUAUUUCAAUGUUAUAAAUUUAACUUAUAUUAGAAUUAUGUCAUUCACUGUUCUCUAACAUUAAAGGAUUAUGAUGUUUGACCUACUCUAGAAUCCAAACAGCUAAAAAAAAAGUUAUUCACCACUAAUUCUGUUGCUUAACAUAGAGGCUCUAAUUUGAAUAAUAAAAUAUCGGUAUGGGCAAUCCAAAGCAGCACCAAAAAUAGCUUCAGGUAAACAUUUUAAAUUAAUAAAGUUAGAUUUAGGUAAACAUUUUAAAUUAAUAAAUUUGUUCAUUCAAUUAUUCAUUCUUCUGUUUCAAACCAACUAGUCGACUUGGAGUUAUAAUUACUGAAGGCACUAAUUUGUUCCUUCAAUUCGAAUUUUACAUGUUAUCAAAGAGCCAUUCAACUCAUCAAUAGAUCCAAAAUUUCUAUGGUACGGUCUCGGUCCAAGUCAGACACAGCAUUGGCAUUUACAUGCAUUGUCCACCUUCUGCUAAAAUAAGAAAAGAUUGAUUGCUAAACAUGUGCAAAGAAUAAAAAAAGAAAAAGAAUCAAAGAAGCAUUUACUAAAAUCAUCAAGAAAUAUUUACAUACAUUGAAAGAAGAAUACAAGCAUCAUCUAAGUUAGUAGCUGAAAACAAGCUGUAUCAACAAUGACAUUGGGUUUUUAAGGAUACAAAACUUAAACACGGUGAGAAAAAUGGGGAGGGGGGCUAACCUUGAACAGGAGGUGGAGCUUUUCAUGGCAGCAAGGGAAAAAGUGGAUGCAGAGUGCCAAAAUAGGUGAAAAAAAAGCGAGCGGAGGUCUGUGAAGGCAUUGAAGGUGGAAAAGACAGACAUCAUCGUGUGGACUCUAACCAUGUAAUGUUAUUCGUUUUCUUCCUCCUCUCUGUUUUUUAGUUAGUUACUACUUAUUUUCCUCCUCUCAGUUUCUUCAACUUCCUUUAUUAUCUCAUAUGUGCUUUCCUUUUCUAUUUCUUAAACUUCCUGUAUUAUCUGUGCUGAUGAAUUUGUUGAAGUCUCUUCCUAUGCUUUGGGCUGCCAUCUCAAGUUCAAGCACGAUGCUUUCUAGCAGAACUGCACUUCUUGUGUACACAAUGCAUCAUUUCUGCCCCGGUAGUACACAAAUAUAUAAUCAUCUUGUUUAUUUUCUAUCUUCGAUUGACAGAAUAUAUGUGGAGACAUAAUUAUGAUAGCCAUUAAUCUAUCUAGAUUCUGAUGCUUAAUGAUGACUCAGCAUUAUAUUUUUGCAGGAGGUACUUGAAAUUGUUUGACUUGAAUCCAUAAUGAAAUUGACAAAAAGAAAAAGAAAGGAGAAUGGGGAGAAGGAGAUUACCAGUCAUCUUAAUAGUGAAGGAACUCAUUGUCAUGAUUGUAGAGCAUUGCAGGAUACACUGGAUCUUGCACAAACCUCUGUACAGUUGAUCGGGUGAAAAGGCCGCUAGUGACGAACCACUUCCCAACGAAAUCUGCAACAUUAAAGUUCUUGACAAGAAAGGCAGGAUUAGGGACGGAAUCCCCGAACAUUAGACUUCUAAGGUACACACUUCUUUCAUGAGACUGCACACUCAUUGAAUUCAUUAACAAGACUGUUUUGAAAUAGGUCCCCACAUUUGAUCUGCAAAAUAUCUAAAGACUUCUAAGGUACACACUUUUUUCAUGAGACUGCACACUAAUAACAAGACUGUUUUCAAAUAGAUCUCCACAUUUGAUCUGUAAAAUAUCUAAAGAGGGUUACUCGUUCAAUACCAUUAUAUAUCUCACCAGGUAUAAGGCAGAACAAGAUUAUUGCACAACCAACUACUCAAAAGCUUAAGCUGACAAAGAGGGGGGUUUGUUUGAUCUAAAAGAGCAUUUUGCCCUGCAGGCCAAGUGCAAAUAUAUGGUACACUGUUUCCUUUAAAAGCUUCUUAUGCUGUUAGUGAGCAUUCUGCUUAUACAUAUUCUUUCUGCAGUAUCUGCAAGCAUCUCAAGGGAAAGAACAUAACUCACCUGGCAUUCAAUCUCAUCAGGCCCGUUAUUGCAUGUAUGGAGGCAAGCAACGUUAGCAGCACAACAUGGGUUUGCAAUGCACCUUGCCCAUUCUAGCCUGGCUAAAUAACAAGCUGGUAAGUAAAAGACCAUGGAGGAUCAAAAUGCACUUGCCGGUUAAAUGGAAGGAAAUCCCUUUGCUACCAAAAAUUUCAACAACUAAUUCCCAUCAAUACCACCCACCUCCUCAUCAAAUCUCAACAGAAAAUGCUAAACUAAACCCAUUCAUAUCAUCAAAUCGCAACAGAAGUUAGUGUAUCUUUUAAAUUGCAUUCAUAUCAUUAAAUCUCAACAGAAAAUGCUAACUUGAACCCAUUCAUAUCAUCAAAUCUCAACAGAAAAUGCUAACUUAAACCCAUUCAUAUGCUAGUGUAUCUUUUGAAUUGCAUUCAUAUCAUCAAAUCUCAACAGAAAAUGCUAACCUAAACCCAUUCAUAUCAUCAAAUGUCAAUAGAAAAUACUAACCUAAACUCAUUCAUAUGCUAGUGUAUCUUUUGAAUUGCAUAACAGUACGCCAUUCAUAUGUUAGUGUAUCUUUUAAAUUGCAUUCAUAUCAUCAAAUCUCAACAGAAAAUGCUAACCUAAACCCAUUCAUAUGCUAGUGUAUCUUUUGAACUGCGUAACAGUACGCCACUAUAAACCACAUUCAGAUAGAUUAUUGAAAUAUAUCCUCCAUAAAAUGUUAAACCAUGAUUUUAAGGAUAUUUUCAUACUGAAAUGUUAGAAAUUUAACUUAUAUUAGAAUUAUGUCAUUCACUGUUCUCUAACAUUAAAGGAUUAUGAUGUUUGACCUACUCUACAAUCCAAACAGCUAAAAAAAAGUUAUUCACCACUAAUUUUGUUGCUUAACAUAGAGGCUUUGAUUUGAAUAAUAAAAUAUCGGUAUGUGCAAUCCAAAGCAGCACCAAAAAUAGCUUCAGGUAAACAUUUUAAAUUAAUAAAUUUGUUCAUUCAAUUAUUCAUUCUUCUGUUUCAAACCAACCAGUCGACUUGGAGUUACAAUUGCUGAAGGCACUAAUUUGUUACUUCAAUUCGAAUUUUACAUGUCAUCAAAGAGCCAUUCAACUCAUCAAUAGAUCCAAAAUUUCUAUGGUACGGUCUCGGUCUAAGUCAGACACAACAUUGAAAUUUACAUGCAUUCUGCUAAAAUAAGAAAAAGAUUACUAAAGAAAAGAUUUAUUGCUAAACGUGUGCAAAGAAUAAAAAAGAAAAAGAAUCAAAGAAGCAUUUACUAAAAUCAUCAUGAAAUAUUUACAUACAUUGAAAGAAGAAUACAAGCAUCAUCUAAGUUAGUAGCUGAAAACUGUGAGCUGUAUCAACAAUGACAUUGGGUUCUUAAGGGUACAAAACUUAAACACGGUGAGAAAUGGGGAGGGGGGCUAACCUUGAACAGGAGGUGGAGCUUUUCAUGGCAGCAAGGGAAAAAGUGGACGCAGAGUGCUAAAAUAGGUGAAAAAAGAGCGUGCGGAUGUCUGUGAAGGAGGAAAAGACAGACAUCAUCGUGUGGACUCUAACCAUGUAAUGUAUUCGUUUUCUUCCUCCUCUCAGUUUUUUAGUUAGUUACUACUUAUUUUCCUCCUCUCAGUUUCUUCAACUUCCAUUAUUAUCUCAUCUGUGCUUUCCUCUUCUAUUUCUUCAACUUCCUUUAUUAUCUGUGCUGAUGAAUUUGUUGAAGUCUCUUCCUAUGCUUUUGGCUGCCAUCUCCAGUUCAAGUACAAUGCUUUCUUGCUGAACUGCACUUCUUGUGUACACAACGGCGCCGCCAUAUCCAUCCCAUGCAUCAUUUCUGCCCCGGUAGUACACAAAUAUGUAAUCAUCAUGUUUAUUUUCUAUCUUCGAUUGACAGAAUAUAUGUGGAGACAUAAUUAUGAUAGCCAUUAAUCUAUCUAGAUUCUGAUGCUUAAUGACUCAACAUUUUAUUUUUGCAGGAAGUUCUUGAAAUUGUUUGACUUGAAUCCAUAAUGAAAUUGACAAAAAGAAAAAGAAAGGAGAAUGGGGAGAAGGAGAUUACCAGUCAUCUUAAUAGUGAAGGAACUCAUUGUCAUGAUUGUAGAGCAUUGCAGGAUACACUGGAUCUUGCACAAACCUCUGUACAGUUGAUCGGGUGAAAAAGCCAGUAUCUGGAGUUCGUAUCCUCCAGGACAAGUUCCCGACAAGCUUGUUGGAUUAUGUAUGGAACUUAUGCAAAACGGCAGUCAAAGGUAUCAAAAGUAGGAUUUAGGCCAUCGGGUGAAAAAGCCAGUAUCUGGAGUUCGUAUCAUCCUCCAGGACAAGUUCCCGACAAGCUUGGUGGAUUCUGUAUGGAACUUAUGCAAUUGGUAGUCAAAGGUAUCAAAAGUAGGAUUUAGGCCACUAGUGAUGAACCAUUUCCCAACGAAAUCUGUAACAUUAAAGUCCUUGACAAGAAUGGCAGGAUCAGGGACGGAAUUCCAACAUCAGACUUCUGAGGUACACACUUCUUUCAUGAGACUGCACACUCAUUGAAUUCAUCAACAAGACUGUUUUCAAAUAGGUCCCCACAUUUGAUCUGCAAAAUAUCUAAAGACUUCUAAGGUACACACUUCUUUCAUGAGAUUGCGUUUGAAUUCAUCAACAAGACUGUUUUCAAAAAGAUCCCUACAUUUGAUCUACAAUAUAUCUAUAGAGGGUUUACUCGUUCAAUACCAUUAUCUAUCUCACCAGGUAUAAGGCAAAACAAGAUUAUUGGACAACCAACUACUCAAAAGCUUAAGCUGACAAAAAGGGGUUUGUUUGAUCUCCCUUUGCCCUGCAGGCCAAGUGCAAAUAUGUGGUACACUGUUUCCUUUAAAAGCUUAUGCUGUUAGUGAGCAUUCUGCUUAUACAUAUUCUUUCUGCAGUAUGUGCGAGCAUCUCAAGAGAAAGAACAGAACUCACCUGGCAUUCAGUCUCAUCAGGCCGGUUAAUUGCAUGUAUGGAGGCAAGCAACGUUAGCAGCACAAGAUGGGUUUGCAAUGCACUUUGCCAAUUCUAGCCUGGCAAUAACAAGCUGAUAAGUAAAAAGGCAAUGAUGAAGGAUCAAAAUGCACUUGCCUGUUAAAUGGAAGGAAAUCCUUCGCGACCAAAAAUUUCAACAACUAAUUCCCAUGAAUACCACCACCUCCUCAUCAAAUCUAAUCAGAAAAUGCUAACCUAAACCCAUUCAUAUCAUCAAAUCUCAACAAAAAAUGAUAACCUAAACCCAUUCAUAUGCUACUGUAUCUUUUGAAUUGCAUUCAUAUCAUCAAAUCUCAACAGAAAAUGCUAACCUAAACCCAUUCAUAUAAUCAAAUCUCAGCAGAAAAUGCUAGCCUAAACCCAUUCAUAUGCUAGUGUAUCUUUUGAAUUGCAUUCAUAUAAUCAAAUCUCAACAGAAAAUACUAACCUAAACCCAUUCAUAUUAUAUUGUAUCCCCAUUCAUAUCAUCAAAUCUCAACAGAAAAUGCUAACCUAAACCCAUUCAUAUGCUAGUGUAUCUUUUGAAUUGUAUAACAGUACGUCACCUGAAACCACAUUCAGAGACAAAUUACUGAAAUAUAUCCUACAUAAAAUAUUAAACCAUGAUUUUAAGGAUAUUUUUUUACUGAAAUGUUAGAAAAUGUUAGGCAAAAAUAGUAUGUGGGGUGGGCAGUUCUUUUCUGUUGUGGCUGAAAAUUUGAAGAAUAGCGCUUGGAUUGAUGAUUUCUACAGGUGUUUGCCAGCUUCAGAUGCAUUGAGUAAGGGCCAUUACUACUUCUUUUAAAUCUUAUUUCUCGAUUUACUUCCCAUUUCACUUCUUGAUGCUUAGAGUAUUGUCUAUGAACAGAUGAAGGAUACGUGCAAAUCAAAUGUAAGUACAACUAUUCUGUUUUCUCAUUGAAAGAGUUUCUUCAUUUCUUGGAAUUUUAUAUGGUCGCGUGGAUCAUCUUGUGAAGGAUAAACACUCAUAAAGAUCUUUAGCUUAUCAGAUUCUCUGGUGAAAGUGGUAUUUGCUAUUUUUAUAGCAAUCAUCACCUUGUUGCUGGUCUAUCAGUAUCAUUCUCCUUUUGAUAAUCAUUCUUGUGCUUGUUAUACCUAUUGUUACUAGCUUUAGCUACUCUUGAAUUGGAGGGCCUUAUGGAGGAUUUAAUGACCUGUUAUUCCUUAUAGCUUUCUUGCUUUACUUUUGGAGGAUAUGCUUUAAUCCCUUAUUUUGAGGCCAGAUUAAGUGGGGAGGGGGUUUGGUUUUCUCUCGUCAUUGCUUUACUCUUUGAGUAAUGGUAGGAUUUAAAGUUGUGAUGUAAAUUUAGAAAAAUUGCUUUAUUCUUUAUGCUCGUUCUUUGCUCCAAUCCUGGAAGUUUACAUGAUCCAUCAUCCUUCUUUACCUUUAUAUGAAUGUAUAGGUACGUUAUGGAGCAACAUCAUGAUCCAUUCCAAUGUAGGGAAUUCAGGAGGCAAUUGGGUCUUGGUUAGACACUAUAGAAACAAAUUGAAAAAAGAAAUGCAGCAGAAAAAAAAAAGAAAAAAAAAAUCCAGAUUUCCCUUUAUGGGGAUUCAAAAAGAUUUAGCUGUGCAUUUCUGAAAUAAUUCAAGGCAUGAAUAAGAAGACUCAAUAUUUUCUGUUAAGUUGAACUCUAUCUAAACUUCGCUUCCAUUUUCAGAUCACUCAACAUAUCAUAUCCAUUUCUUCUUAACUUGGUUUUCUUAAGAAAACCUCCUCGUCUUUUUGGAGUUAAUAAAUCCUUCUGCCAAACUCUCGGGAACAAGCUCAACUCAGUCUACCUAUAUUAUCAAAAGCAGGGGGUUUGGUUUUCUUCAACUUCCUUUAUUAUCUGUGCCUUUCCUCUUCUAUUUCUUCAACUUCCUUUAUUAUCUGUGCUGAAGAAUUUGUUGAAGUCUCUACGGGUUGCCAUCUCAAGUUCAAGCACGAUGCUUUCUGGCAGUACUGCACUUCUUGUGUACACAACGUCCCAUGCAUCAUUUCUGCCUUCGUAGUACACAAAUAUGCAAUCAUCUUGUUUAUUUUUUAUCUUCGAUUGACAGAAUAUAUCUGGAGACAUAAUUAUGAUGAUAGCCAUUAAUCUAUCUAGUUUCUGAUGCUUAAUGAUGACUCAGCAUUAUAUUUUUGUAGGAAGCACUUGAAAUGGUUUGACUUGAAUCCAUAAUGAAAUUGACAAAAAGAAAAAGAAAGGCGAAUGGGGAGAAGGAGAUUACCGGUCAUCUUAAUAGUGAAGGAGCUCAUUGUCAUGAUUGUAGAGCAUUGCAGGAUAUACUGGAUCUUGCACAAACCUCUGAAAAGGCCACUAGUGACGAACCACUUCCCAACGAAAUCUGCAACAUUAAAGUUCUUGACAAGAAAGGCAGGAUUAGGGACGGAAUCCCCGAAUAUCAGACUUCUAAGGUACACACUUCUUUCAUGAGACUGCACACUCAUUGAAUUCAUUAACAAGACUGUUUUGAAAUAGGUCCCCACAUUUGAUCUGCAAAAUAUCUAAAGACUUCAAAGUACACACUUUUUUCAUGAGACUGCACACUCAUUGAAUUCAUUAACAAGACUGUUUUCAAAUAGGUCCCCGCAUUUGAUCUGCAAAAUAUCUAAAGACUUCAAAGUACACACUUUUUUCAUGAGACUGUACACUCAUAACAAGACUGUUUUCAAAUAGAUCUCCACAUUUGAUCUGCAAAAUAUCUAAAGAGGGUUACUCGUUGAAUACCAUUAUCUGUCUCACCAGGUAUAAGGCAGAACAAGAUUAUUGGACAACCACCUACUCAAAAGCUUAAGCUGACAAAGGGGGGGUUUGUUUGAUCUAAAAGAGAUGCCACCCUUUGCCCUGCAGGCCAAGUGCAAAUAUAUGGUACACUGUUUCCUUUAAAAGCUUCUUAUGCUGUUAGUGAGCAUUCUGCUUAUACAUAUUCUUUCUGCAGUAUCUGCAAGCAUCUCAAGGGAAAGAACAUCACUCACCUGGCAUUCAAUCUCAUCAGGCCCCCUUAUUGCAUGCAUGGAGGCAAGCAACGUUAGCAGCGCAAGAUGGGUUUGCACUGCACUUUGCCCAUUCUAGCCUGACAAUAACAAGACAAUGAUGAAGGAUCAAAAUGCACUUGCCGGUUAAAUGGAAGGAAAUCCCUUCGCUACCAAAAAUUUCAACAACUAAUUCCCAUCAACACAACCACCUCCUCAACAAAUCUCAACAGAAAAUGCUAACCUAAACGCAUUCAUAUCAUCAAAUCUCAACAGAAAAUGCUAACCUAAACCCAUUCAUAUGCUAGUGUAUUUUUUGAAUUGCAUUCAUAUCAUCAAAUCUCAACAGAAAAUGCUAACCUAAACCCAUUCAUAUCAUCAAAUCUCAACAGAAAAUACUAACCUAAACUCAUUCAUAUGCUAGUAUAUCUUUUGAAUUGCAUAAUAGUACGCCAUUCAUAUGUUAGUGUAUCUUUUAAAUUGCAUUCAUAUCAUCAAAUCUCAACAGAAAAUGCUAACCUAAACCCAUUCAUAUCAUCAAAUCUCAAUAGAAAAUGCUAACCUAAAUCCAUUCAUAUGCUAGUGUAUCUUUUGAAUUGCGUAAUAGUACGCCACUGUAAAUUACAUUCAGAUAGAUUAUUGAAAUAUAUCCUCCAUAAAAUGUUAAACCAUGAUUUUAAGGAUAUUUUCAUACUGAAAUGUUAGAAAUUUAACUUAUAUUAGAAUUAUGUCAUUCACUGUUGUCUAACAUUAAAGGAUUAUGAUGUUUGACCUACUCUACAAUCCAAACAGCUAAAAAAAAGUUAUUCACCACUAAUUCUAUUGCUUACCAUAGAGGCUUUGAUUUGAAUAAUAAAAUAUCGGUAUGUGCAAUCCAAAGCAGCACCAAAAAUAGCUUCAGGUAAACAUUUUAAAUUAAUAAAUUUGUUCAUUCAAUUAUUCAUUCUUCUGUUUCAAACCAACCAAUCGACUUGGAGAUACAAUUUGUUCCUUCAAUUUGAAUUUUACAUGUUAUCAAAGAGCCAUUCAACUCAUCAAUAGAUCCAAAAUUUCAAUGGUACGGUCUUGGUCUAAGUCAGACACAUCAUUGAUAUUUACAUGCAUUCUGCUAAAAUAAGAAAAGAUUACUAAAGAAAAGAUUGAUUGCUAAACAUGUGCAAAGAAUAAAAAAGAAAAAGAAUCAAAGAAACAUUUAUUAAAAUCAUCAAGAAACAUUUACUAAAAUCAUCAAGAAAUAUUUACAUACAUUGAAAGAAGAAUACAAGCAUCAUCUAAGUUAGUAGCUGAAAACUGUGAGCUGUAUCAACAAUGACAUUGGGUUCAAAACUUAAACACGGUGAGAAAUGGGGAGGGGGGCUAACCUUGAACAGGAGGUGGAGCUUUUCAUGGCAGCAAGGGAAAAAGUGGAUGCAGAGUGCCAAAAUAGGUGAAAAAAGAGCGCGCGGAGGUCUGUGAAGGCAGUGAAGGUGGAAAAGACAGACAUCAUCGUGUGGACUCUAACCAUGUAAUGUACUCGUUUUCUUCCUCCUCUCUGUUUUUUAGUUAGUUACUACUUAUUUUCCUCCUCUCAGUUUCUUCAACUUCCUUUAUUAUCUCAUCUGUGCUUUCCUCUUCUAUUUCUUCAACUUCCUUUAUUAUCUGUGCUGAUGAAUUUGUUGAAGUCUCUUCCUAUGCUUUUGGCUGCCAUCUCCAGUUCAAGUACAAUGCUUUCUUGCUGAACUGCACUUCUUGUGUACACAACGGCGCCGCCAUAUCCAUCCCAUGCAUCAUUUCUGCCCCGGUAGUACACAAAUAUGUAAUCAUCAUGUUUAUUUUCUAUCUUCGAUUGACAGAAUAUAUCUGGAGACAUAAUUAUGAUAGCCAUUAAUCUAUCUAAAUUUUGAUGCUUAAUGAUGACUUAACAUUUUAUUUUUGCAGGAAGUUCUUGAAAUUGUUUGACUUGAAUCCAUAAUGAAAUUGACAAAAAGAAAAAGAAAAAGAAAGAAGAAUGGGGAGAAGGAGAUUACCAGUCAUCUUAAUAGUGAAGGAACUCAUUGUCAUGAUUGUAGAGCAUUGCAGGAUACACUGGAUCUUGCACAAACCUCUGUACAGUUGAUCGGGUGAAAAAGCCAGUAUCUGAAGUUCGUAUCCUUCAGGACAAGUUCCCGACAAGCUUGUUGGAUUCUGUAUGGAACUUAUGCAAAAUGGCAGUCAAAGGUAUCAAAAGUAGGAUUUAGGCGAUCGGGUGAAAAAGCCAGUAUCUGGAGUUCGUAUCAUCCUCCAGGACAAGUUCCUGACAUGGUUGUUGGAUUCAGUAUGGAACUUGUGCAAUUGGCAGUCAAAGGUAUCAAAAGUGGGAUUUAAGCCACUAGUGAUGAACCACUUCCCAAUGAAAUCUGCAACAUUAAAGUUCUUGACAAGAAUGGCAGGAUCAGGGACGAAAUUCCAACAUCUGACUUCUGAGGUACGCACUUCUUUCAGGAGACUGGCAACUCAUUGAAUUCAUCAACAAGACUGUUUUCAAAUAGGUCCCCAUAUUUGAUCUGCAAAAUAUCUAAAGAGGGUUACUCGUUGAAUACCAAUCUAUCUCACCAGGUACAAGGCAGAACAAGAUUAUUGGACAACGAGAUGCCACCCUUCGCCCUGCAGGCCAAGUGCAAAUAUAUGGUACACUGUUUCCUUUAAAAGCUUCUUAUGCUGUUAGUGAGCAUUGUGCUUAUACAUAUUCUUUCUGCAGUAUCUGCAAGCAUCUCAAGAGAAAAAAUAGAACUCACCCGGCAUUCCAGUCUCAUCAGGCCCCUUAUUGCGCAUGUAUGGAGGCAAGAAACGUUAGCAGCACAAGAUGAUGGGUAUGCAAUGCACUUUGCCAAUUCUAGCCUGGCAAUAACAAAGCUGGUAAGUAAAAGAUAAUGAUGAAGGAUCAAAAUGCACUUGCCGGUUAAAUGGAAGGAAAUCCCUUCGCUACCAAAAAUUUCAACAACUAAUUCCCAUCAAUACCACCGUCUCCUCAUCAAAUCUCAACAUAAAAUGCUAACAUAAACUCAUUCAUAUUAUCAAAUCUCAUCAGAAAAUACUAACAUAAACCCAUUCAUAUCAUCAAAUCUCAACAGAAAAUGCUAACCUAAACCCAUUUAUAUGCUAGUGUAUCUUUAGAAUUGCAUUCAUAUCAUCAAAUCUCAACAAAAAAUGCUAACCUAAACCCAUUCAUAUCAUCAAAUCUCAACAGAAAAUAAUAUACUAUUGUAUCCCCAUUCAUAUCAUCAAAUCUCAACACAAAAUGCUAACCUAAACCCAUUCAUAUGCUAGUGUAUCUUUUGAGUUGCAUUCAUAUUAUAAAAUCUCAACAGAAAAUGCUAACCUAAACCCAUUCACAUCAUCAAAUCUCAACAGAAAAUGCUAACCUAAACCCGUUCAUAUGCUAGUGUAUCCCCAUUCAUAUCAUCAAAUCUCAACACAAAAUGCUAACCUAAACCCAUUCAUAUGCUAGUGUAUCUUUUGAGUUGCAUUCAUAUCAUAACAUCUCAACAGAAAAUGCUAACCUAAACCCAUUCAUAUGCUAGUGUAUCCCCAUUCAUAUCAUCAAAUCUCAACACAAAAUGCUAACCUAAACCCAUUCAUAUGCUAGUGUAUCUUUUGAGUUGCAUUCAUAUCAUAAAAUCUCAACAGAAAAUGCUAACCUAAACCCGUUCAUAUGCUAGUGUAUCUUUUGAGUUGCAUUCAUAUCAUAAAAUCUCAACAGAAAAUGCUAACCUAAACCCAUUCAUAUGCUAUUGUAUCUCCAUUCAUAUCAUCAAAUCUCAACAGAAAAUGCUAACCUAAACUCAUUCAUAUACUAGUGUAUCUUUUGAAUUGCAUAACAGGACGCUAUUCAUAUGCUAGUGUAUCUUUUGAAUUACAUAAUAGUAUGCCACUGUAAACCACAUUUAGAUAGAUUACUGAAAUAUAUCCUCCAUAAAAUGUUAAACCAUGAUUUUAAGGAUAUUUUCAUACUAAAAUGUUAGAAAUUGAACUUAUAUUAGAAUUAUGUCAUUCAUUGUUUUCUAACAUUAAAGGAUUAUGAUGUUUGACCUACUCUACAAUCCAAACAGCUAAAAAAAAGUUAUUCACCACUAAUUCUAUUGCUUAACAUAGAGGCUCUGAUUUGAAUAAUAAAAUAUCGGUAUGGGCAAUCCAAAGCAGCACCAAAAAUAGCUUCAGGGGUAAACAUUUUAAAUUAAUAAAGUUAGCUUCAGGUAAACAUUUUAAAUUAAUAAAUUUGUUCACUCAAUUCUUCAUUCUUCUGUUUCAAACCAACCAGUCGACUUGGAGUUACAAUUGCUGAAGGCACUAAUUUGUUCCUUCAAUUCGAAUUUUACAUGUUAUCAAAGAGCCAUUCAACUCAUCAAUAGAUCCAAAAUUUCAAUGGUACGGUCUCGGUCUAAGUCAAACACAGCAUUGGCAUUUACAUGCAUUGUCCACCUUCUGCUAAAAUAAGAAAAGAUUGAUUGCUAAACAUGUGCAAAGAAGAAAAAAGAAAAAGAAUCAAAGAAGCAUUUACUAAAAUCAUCAAGAAAUAUUUACAUACAUUGAAAGAAGAUACAAGCAUCAUCUAAGUUAGUAGCUGAAAUCUGUGAGCUGUAUCAACAAUGACAUUGGGCUUUUAAAGGUACAAAACUUAAACACGGUGAGAAAUGGGGAGGGGGGGGGUUAACCUUGAACAGGAGGUGGAUAUUUUCAUGGCAGCAAGGGAAAAAGUGGAUGCAGAGUGCCAAAAUAGGUGAAAAAAGAGCGCGCGGAGGUCUGUGAAGGCAGCGAAAGUGAAAAAGACAGACAUCAUCGUGUGGACUCUAACCUUGUAACGUAUUCGUUUUCUUCUUCCUCUAGUUUUUUUAGUUAGUUACUGGUUAUUUUCCUUUAGGAUUUCACGUUCCAGUUUAAAAUAUAUUUUUAUUUAGUUUUUUAUUGUUAUUAAAAAAAAUAUUUAUGAGAUAUACAAUUGUUAAAAUUCUAGACAGAAAAAAAAUACAUAUUCUAAAAAUAUAUAUAUUUUGUUAAACUAAUUAUUCUUUUCUUAUUCAUAUUUGAAUAAAAUAUAUUUAUUAGUAGUUCAUUUUUUUGAAUAAAAAACAAUGUUAAUGAGUUUAUUGAAUAAACAUCUUAAAAAUAAAAUCAAACCCAUUGCUAACCUAAAAGCACCCUUCAAUUUGUCCAAAAACCCAAAUUAUCAUAUCAUAUCACUUUCUUCUUUACCUCGCUUCCAUUUUCAGAUCACUCAACAUAUCAUAUCCAUUUCUUCUUUACUUGGUUUUCUUAAGAAAACUUCCUCGUCUUUUUGGAGUUAAUAAAUCCUUCUGCCAAUCUCUGGAACAAGCUCAACUCAGUCUACCUCUUCUCUUCUAUUUCUUCAACUUCCUCUAUGAAUUUGUUGAAGUCUUUUCCUAUGCUUUUGGCUGCCAUCUCAAGUUCAAGUGCACUGCUUUCUGGCAGAAACUUGAUAGUUAAGGAAAUUACCAGCCAUCUUGAUUGUGAAGGAACUCAUUGUCAUGAUUGUAGAGCAUUGCAGGAUAGACUGGAUCUUGCACAAACCUCUGUACAGUUGAUCGGGUGAGUGCAUAGGCCACCAGGAGAAAAUCAAGGACUGGACAGCUUCAGCACAACAUUAUGCUGUCGUAAUCUACUCAACGAUCUGACCAAGCGUCGCGUGCAAUAUCGAACCCAAAUGUUGACAUCUUGAUUCCAAAAGAUCAAUGGAUGGAAUGUAUCCAUGGCUUUCCUGGACAAAACUCUGUAUCACCGGCUUUUUGUGGCUCUGAUGACCUCUACAAUGAGAGAAGUGCUUGUUCGAGAUUUUCUUUGUCAUCGAUAACGGAAUAGUGGUAUUACAAAAAAGCAUUAGCCUUGUGCAUGAAUUUUAGCUCUUCAUACGAUUAUGGGUGUAGCAGCUGCACGAUUUCAGGGAUUAUCAGUUACGAAUAUCAAAUGUCAGCGCGAAUGACAAGAAGGCAAAAAUAUUAUGUGGGGUGGCAGUUCUUAUUUCUGUUGUGGCUGAAAAUUUGAAGAAUAGCGCUUGGAUUGAUGAUUUCUACAGGUGUUUGCCAGCUUCAGAUGCAUUCAGUAAGGGCCAUUACUACUAUUUCUUUUAAAUCUUAUUUCUCGAUUCACUUCCCAUUUCACUUCUUGAUGCUUAGAGUAUUGUCUAUGAACAGAUGAAGGAUACGAUACGUGCAAAUCAAAUGUAAGUACAACUAUUCUGUUUUCUCAUUGAAAGAGUUUAUUCAUUUCUUGGAAUUUUAUAUGGUCGCGUGGAUAAUCUUGUAAAGGAUAAACACUCAUAAAGAUCUUUAGCUUAUCAGAUUCUUUGGUGAAAGUGGUAUUUGGUAUUUUUAUAGCAAUCAUCACAUUGUUGCUGGUCUAUCUGUAUCAUUCUCCUUUUGAUAAUCAUUCUUGUGAUUGUUAUACCUAUUGUUACUAGCUUUAGCUACUCUUGAAUUGGAGGGCCUUAUGGAGGAUUUAAUGACCUGUUAUUCCUUCUGGCUUUCUUGCUUUACUUUUGGAGGAUAUGCUUUAAUCCCUUAUUUUGGGGCCAGAUUAAGUGGAGAGGGGGUUUGGUUUUCUCUCGUCAUUGCUUUACUCUUUGAGUAAUGGUAGGAUUUAAUAUUGUGAUGUAAAUUUAGAAAAAUUGCUUUAUUCUUUAUGCUCGUUCUUUGCUUCAAUACUGGAAGUUUACAUUCUGUACGGACAAUUUUAGAAGAGUUGUCUUUAGGGAAAGAAAAAUAUGAACUUGAAAAGCAACAGGUUGCCUUUAGGCAAGAUAACCUGCAUGAUGUUCUGGUUUUUCAGAGAAACAUGAUCCAUCAUCCUUCUUUACCUUUGUAUGGAUGUAUAGGUACGUUAUGGAGCAACAUCAUGCUCCAAUGUAGGAAAUUCAGGAGGCA